GAUGAACGCUGGCGGCGUGCCUAAUACAUGCAAGUCGAGCGAACAGACGAGGAGCUUGCUCCUCUGACGUUAGCGGCGGACGGGUGAGUAACACGUGGAUAACCUACCUAUAAGACUGGGAUAACUUCGGGAAACCGGAGCUAAUACCGGAUAACAUGUUGAACCGCAUGCUUCAACAGUGAAAGACGGUCUUGCUGUCACUUAUAGAUGGAUCCGCGCCGCAUUAGCUAGUUGGUAAGGUAACGGCUUACCAAGGCAACGAUGCGUAGCCGACCUGAGAGGGUGAUCGGCCACACUGGAACUGAGACACGGUCCAGACUCCUACGGGAGGCAGCAGUAGGGAAUCUUCCGCAAUGGGCGAAAGCCUGACGGAGCAACGCCGCGUGAGUGAAGAAGGUCUUCGGAUCGUAAAACUCUGUUAUUAGGGAAGAACAAAUGUGUAAGUAACUAUGCACGUCUUGACGGUACCUAAUCAGAAAGCCACGGCUAACUACGUG
RNAcentral lists this ribosomal RNA (497 nucleotides) under uncultured bacterium. RNAcentral describes it as "partial 16S ribosomal RNA". It matches the Rfam family "Bacterial small subunit ribosomal RNA", at positions 28 to 507 of the family's 1533-position model. The record is from RNAcentral.